GAUAUACUAUGCUAGCAUACGAAAAUAGGUCUGUACAUUUUUGAGCACCCAAAGUGGUAAGAGACAUUCUUGAAAACAGCUUAAAAAUUUCUGUAGAUACCACCACAAAUAAUCCACACAAUACUUCAACAAGCAUUUAUUAAACGCCUACUAUGUGCUCAGCACUAUACUAGGCACUCGGGGGUGCAGAGAUACAAAUGUAAAAGUUAUUAUUCCUGCCCUCAAGGAGCUUACAAUUUAAUUUUGGAAAUAAAUACAAAUAUGAAACUGUAACACAGAGUGCUAGAAAAUAAUUACAAAGCAACAUAUUAGUAAGUACAUGGACCACAGUACAAACUCAAAAGAUAAGUGCUGAGGCAGCACAGAAUGAGGGAGGUCAUCGCAUGAGGUGAUGUCAAUCAGGGAGAGCUCAGUCAGAAGAUAUAAAGGAAGAAAGGCUGAUGAAUAUUAGGCAUAGAGGUAAUGGAGAAUUUGGAACACCACUGCUCCAUAGGAAUUAUCUACUGGGUGUUACUUAGUGAAAAUGAAAUUUUACAAUAGAGAUAUUGUAAAAAUGGGUUUUGAGGAGGAGCACCUUAGAAACUUUAUACAAGAUGGGGAUCCUGGGAGCAAGGAAAUUGGAAAAAAAAGAAUUACAGUAACCUGGGCCUCAGAUCUACAUGAAAAGCUAUAAUGGGAUGAGAGAAAUGGGAGAUCAAGCCUCAAGGAGAAAACUGAUUAAAAACUGGACUGACAGCAAGUUUUUGGACAUGGAGAAUGGAGAGCAGAAAAAGAUAACUCCAAGGCUGGGGUAAAAAUAUAAAGGUGGUGACACUUUUCAGGGCAAAGGAAUUACGCAAUGAGGCCUGUUUAAAAAGAAAACGGGGGCUGGGGAUAUAUGGUGAUGAAUCCUGUUUUCAAAUAUCAAGUUGUACAGGUACCUGUGGAAAAUUCCAAAAGUCACAAACUGACCCACAGGGUGGGAAAAAUGAAGUCAUUCGAAUACAAAUAGUAGGUAUAAACAAUCAAAAUGGAUAAAUAGGAGAGGGAGAAUUCAACAAUAUAAAAUAUAAAUUAGAUCAAAAAAGACAAGAAAUAAUAAUAAAAAAAGGCCUUAUUAUUUGUCCACUGGUGAGUCUAAGAACAUUUCACUGGAAUGCUAAGUAUGAAAGCCAGUAAAAAGAAGUUUUAAGAACAGAUUAAUGAAAAAGGGGGGUUGAAAAAUCAAAGAUAUGUUUGAAAAACCAUGAACAAUAGAGGAGAAACAGAAUGGUAUUUGGAGAAAAAUAUAUUUGAAUUUAUUAUUGCUUUAUCCUCCCAAUUACUCUGUUAAAUAUGUUUUGUUUGCACAAUUUAGCUUUGUAGUACUACAAAGCAUCAACACUUAAAAAUGAUAUAAUUGUAACCCCAAAAAGCAUUUUCCACCAAUUUUCCAGUAAUUGUAAUGUAUUUGCACUCUACUGCACAUUCUUUUCCCCAGUACCUCUCAUGACAAGCGCUACAUAUUUUUAAAAAGCUGGUUAGAAUUACCAUGUUCAUUAUACACACCUUAGCACAGUAGUCAGAACAGGCUCUAGAAUCAAACUGUGUGGGUCAGAAUCAGUUUUAUCACAUACUGGCUGGGUGAUAUUGGUCAGCUCACUCAACUAAGCCUCCGUUUCCUCAUUUAUAAAAUGGGGGAUAAAAUAAUACCUAUUGAUAUGGUUUGGCUGUGUCCCAUCCAAAUCUCAUCUUGAAUUGUAGCUCCCACAAUUCCCACGUGUCGUGGGUGGGACCAAGUGGGAGGUAAUUGAAUCACGGGGGCAGAACUUUCCUGUGCUGUUCUUGUGAUAGUGAAUAAGUCUCACAAGAUCGGACGGUUUUAUAAAGAGUUCCCCUGCACAAGUUCUCUCUUUGCCUGCUGCCAUCCAUGUAUAAGACAUGAUUUGCUCCUCCUUGCCUUCCACCAUGAUUGUGAGGCGUCCCCAGCCAUGUGGAACUGAGUCCAUUAAACCUCUUUCCUUUAUAAAUUACCCAGUGUCAGGUAUGUCUUUAAUAGCAGCAUGAGAACAGACUAAUACAUUUAUCAUGAGCCUGAGAAAGGCAUAACAGGGUUGGGCACAUAGUAAGUGCUCAAUAAACGUCGGCUAUUAUUAUUUGGAGACUCAGAACCAAGAGUAAAGUUAACUGCUCUGUUUGGGAAUCAACCACCAUAUUCUAGCACUGCACCUUGCUCCAUGGAGAAAAUCUCUGAAACCUAACAUGCCUCUCCCAGGGCUAUGUUGGAUGGCAUUAGAGUUAUGAAAGAACCACCUUAUCAUGUCAGUUCCUAAAAUGAGAAGCUUAGGAUGGGAGGAGAAAGUACUGAUGAAUAGUUCAUUUCAGAUGAACAUAAAGAUAGAAUCUAUAGGAUAAAGGAGCUUAAUGAAUGCCAUUCACAGUUAAGAGCUCAAAAUGUCAUACAGCCUAGUCAAUAAUAUUCUAUGCUAAGAGUGUGAACUUGAGACAAAGAAUGAUUUCUAGUGAUGUCCUCAAAGAAUCCACAGCCUUUUUCUAUUGUCUUAUACCAUUUGGCUAAUUCUGUAUAUGUGCUGUAUCAGCUUUGAUAAUUCUUUCAAGACACAGUCUUUUCUCACACCCAAUAUAACACUAAUUUUUCUAGUCAUAUUAUUUUCUCCAAAUUUAUGCCACAUGCUUAGUAAUUCUGAGAUUUAAGUAAUCUGGCUACAUAUUACUCUUAAUACUGACACAUAAAGAGACUUUAGCUAGUACAUCUGUAUACAUUUCAAUGUGUUGCUCUGGUCUAUGGCCAUACCACCCUGAAUGCACCCAAUUUUGUUAAUAUGUUGCAUUGCUAAAAGGACUUU
This 2825-nucleotide long non-coding RNA is filed under the name Homo sapiens (human). Its description in RNAcentral is "HSALNT0103252". Lineage: Eukaryota; Metazoa; Chordata; Mammalia; Primates; Hominidae. The record is from RNAcentral.